GCGGUGCUCUCCUUCUGCACUGUGUUCAACCAUUGUGUCAAUAAUAAGUGCUGCUGUGAAGAGAACAAUUCUCAGACUGAAUGUUGAACAUCAGCUAGUUUCUCCUGUUGAUUGAAACCUUGUUGUACAGAUGGAACAUUGGCUGUGGAUUAUUCUUGCUGCUCUUUUCUUUGAGUGUAAAGGAGAAGACAAAGUGAUCCAGGAACAAGGAGAUGUCAUUGCUGCUGAAGGAGACACAGUUACACUUGGAUGUAGAUUUGAAACAACAAGAACAGGCCCCACUUUGUUCUGGUACAAACAGGAAGUAAAUAGUUACCCAAAGUAUUUGCUGAAUUUUAAGGCUGAAGAAUUCAACAACGACAGAUUUGAUGCUAAAAUCAACAAAACACAAAAGUCAGUUCCUCUGAAGAUCCAGAAGCUUCAGCUGUCUGACUCUGCUGUGUACUACUGUGCUCUG
Oreochromis niloticus (Nile tilapia) is the source of this 457-nucleotide non-coding RNA. The record is from the annotation of a RefSeq genome assembly. Lineage: Eukaryota; Metazoa; Chordata; Actinopteri; Cichliformes; Cichlidae.